Molecule: ribosomal RNA, 398 nt
Filed under: uncultured bacterium
Lineage: Bacteria
Description: partial 16S ribosomal RNA
Rfam family: Bacterial small subunit ribosomal RNA
Source: RNAcentral
CCUACGGGUGGCAGCAGUGAGGAAUAUUGGUCAAUGGACGGGAGCCUGAACCAGCCAAGUAGCGUGAAGGAUGACAGCCCUAUGGGUUGUAAACUUCUUUUAUAUGGGAAUAAAGUGUUCCACGUGUGGGAUUUUGUAUGUACCUUAUGAAUAAGGAUCGGCUAACUCCGUGCCAGCAGCCGCGGUAAUACGGAGGAUACGAGCGUUAUCCGGAUUUAUUGGGUUUAAAGGGAGCGUAGGCGGAUUCUUAAGUCAGGUGUUAAAGCUUGCGGCGCAACCGUAACAUUGCGGUUGAAACUGGCGGUCUUGAGUACGGGAGAGGUACGCGGAAUUCGUGGUGUAGCGGUGAAAUGCUUAGAUAUCACGAAGAACUCCGAUUGCGAAGGCAGCGUACCGGA